CCGUUAUCAAGGCACUAUUUCCAAAACACACAGGGACUCAUUUUUGUUGUUGACAGCAAUGACAGAGACCGUGUAGUUAAGGCGAGGGAUGAACUCCCAAGAUGCUGAAUGAAUUAAAUUUUCUUCAAAAAAGAAGCCAUUUGCAGUAAGCUUUUGGAUCAAAGCGAAGUUGAGAAUAGGGUGUUAGUUGAUAGCAAAUUGAUAACCAGUAGAGGCACAUCCAUGGAGUUCUUGCUUGCGAUUGUUGAGAAGCUAUUUGGCUGCGAGAAGGCAUUGGAUCUUGCUGUCAAUGAGAACUUUAAAUAGACAUAUAACUAUUAUGUUGGCAUUGUACUUUUGUGAAUGGAUUAAAAUGAAUGAUUGUAUUUGAUUAAAUGAAUGAAUGAUUGUGUUUGAUUGAA
Molecule: long non-coding RNA, 401 nt
Organism: Magnolia sinica
Lineage: Eukaryota; Viridiplantae; Streptophyta; Magnoliopsida; Magnoliales; Magnoliaceae
Exons: 2
Source: RefSeq, a predicted model, not a curated record